This 429-nucleotide ribosomal RNA is filed under the name Chloroflexota bacterium. RNAcentral's name for it is "Chloroflexi bacterium partial 16S ribosomal RNA". It matches the Rfam family "Bacterial small subunit ribosomal RNA", at positions 355 to 776 of the family's 1533-position model. The record is from RNAcentral. Lineage: Bacteria; Bacillati; Chloroflexota.
UGGGGAAUAUUGCACAAUGGGCGCAAGCCUGAUGCAGCCAUGCCGCGUGUGUGAAGAAGGCCUUCGGGUUGUAAAGCACUUUCAGCGGGGAGGAAGGCGAUAAGGUUAAUAACCUCAUCGAUUGACGUUACCCGCAGAAGAAGCACCGGCUAACUCCGUGCCAGCAGCCGCGGUAAUACGGAGGGUGCAAGCGUUAAUCGGAAUUACUGGGCGUAAAGCGAACGCAGGCGGUCUGUCAAGUCGGAUGUGAAAUCCCCGGGCUCAACCUGGGAACUGCAUUCGAAACUGGCAGGCUAGAGUCUUGUAGAGGGGGGUAGAAUUCCAGGUGUGGCGAUGAAAUGCGUAGAGAUCUGGAGGAAUACCGGUGGCGAAGGCGGCCCCCUGGACAAAGACUGACGCUCAGGUGCGAAAGCGUGGGGAGCAAACAGG